UGUAAACGAGACAAGUUAAUGCUCAAUCUUUUCCGUUUACGCUUCUGAUUCACGCUGAAACUUUAUCCAAUGCCUCUCCUUUAUAAAACCCAAUUCAACAGCCAAUUAUUUUACAAUCUCGCUUCUUCUCCAUUUCCGUCAACGUCUAAUCAGAAUUUUUCCUGCCGGAUUACAUUUCCGACGAUGUCUUGCUCUUCUCAAACUGCUUUUCCCAUUCUAAGGACUGUAACCAUAUCGUACUCCGACCUCAAGGAUAG
This 257-nucleotide unclassified non-coding RNA is filed under the name Hevea brasiliensis (rubber tree). Lineage: Eukaryota; Viridiplantae; Streptophyta; Magnoliopsida; Malpighiales; Euphorbiaceae. The record is from RNAcentral.